UAGCUCAGUGAUUAAAGCGUCUGCCUGAAAUGCGGGAGACCCGGGUUCAAUCCCUGG
This 57-nucleotide transfer RNA is filed under the name Bos taurus (domestic cattle). It matches the Rfam family "tRNA", at positions 8 to 63 of the family's 71-position model. From Rfam's summary of the family: Transfer RNA (tRNA) molecules are approximately 80 nucleotides in length. Their secondary structure includes four short double-helical elements and three loops (D, anti-codon, and T loops). The record is from Rfam by way of RNAcentral. Lineage: Eukaryota; Metazoa; Chordata; Mammalia; Artiodactyla; Bovidae. RNAcentral also lists the same sequence under 1 other name.